UUAGUUGCCAUCAUUCAGUUGGCACUCUAGCGAGACUGCCGGUAAUAAACCGGAGGAAGGUGGGGAGUGACGUCAAAUCAUCAUGCCCCUUAUGACCUGGGCUACACACGUGCUACAAUGGUUGGUACAACGAGUUGCGAGUCGGUGACGGCGAGCUAAUCUCUUAAAGCCAAUCUCAGUUCGGAUUGUAGGCUGCAACUCGCCUACAUGAAGUCGGAAUCGCUAGUAAUCGCGGAUCAGCACGCCGCGGUGAAUACGUUCCCGGGCCUU
This 270-nucleotide ribosomal RNA is filed under the name uncultured Streptococcus sp. Its description in RNAcentral is "partial 16S ribosomal RNA". It matches the Rfam family "Bacterial small subunit ribosomal RNA", at positions 1111 to 1382 of the family's 1533-position model. The record is from RNAcentral. Lineage: Bacteria; Bacillati; Bacillota; Bacilli; Lactobacillales; Streptococcaceae.